GGUUAAGCGACUAAGCGUACACGGUGGAUGCCCUGGCAGUCAGAGGCGAUGAAGGGCGUGCUAAUCUGCGAUAAGCGCCGGUAAGGUGAUAUGAACCGUUAUAACCGGCGAUACCCGAAUGGGGAAACCCAGUGUGAUUCGUCACACUAUCAUUAACUGAAUCCAUAGGUUAAUGAGGCGAACCGGGGGAACUGAAACAUCUAAGUACCCCGAGGAAAAGAAAUCAACCGAGAUUCCCCCAGUAGCGGCGAGCGAACGGGGAGGAGCCCAGAGCCUGAAUCAGCAUGUGUGUUAGUGGAAGCGUCUGGAAAGGCGCGCGAUACAGGGUGACAGCCCCGUACACAAAAGCGCAUGUGCUGUGAGCUCGAUGAGUAGGGCGGGACACGUGGUAUCCUGUCUGAAUAUGGGGGGACCAUCCUCCAAGGCUAAAUACUCCUGACUGACCGAUAGUGAACCAGUACCGUGAGGGAAAGGCGAAAAGAACCCCGGCGAGGGGAGUGAAAAAGAACCUGAAACCGUGUACGUACAAGCAGUGGGAGCCCCACCACUAAGCCAGUGGUGAACUCCACAUCCGCAUCCUUUGCUGAGGAUACGGUUAACGGAGCGAAAGCGACGUUCAACCGCAAAACAAGCAGAGGGGGCUUAGUGGUGGGGUGACUGCGUACCUUUUGUAUAAUGGGUCAGCGACUUAUAUUCUGUAGCAAGGUUAACCGAAUAGGGGAGCCGGAGGGAAACCGAGUCUUAAUUGGGCGUUAAGUUGCAGGGUAUAGACCCGAAACCCGGUGAUCUAGCCAUGGGCAGGUUGAAGGUUGGGUAACACUAACUGGAGGACCGAACCGACUAAUGUUGAAAAAUUAGCGGAUGACCUGUGGCUGGGGGUGAAAGGCCAAUCAAACCGGGAGAUAGCUGGUUCUCCCCGAAAGCUAUUUAGGUAGCGCCUCGUGAAUUCAUCUCCGGGGGUAGAGCACUGUUUCGGCUAGGGGGCCAUCCCGGCUUACCAACCCGAUGCAAACUGCGAAUACCGGAGAAUGUUAUCACGGGAGACACACGGCGGGUGCUAACGUCCGUCGUGAAGAGGGAAACAACCCAGACCGCCAGCUAAGGUCCCAAAGUCAUGGUUAAGUGGGAAACGAUGUGGGAAGGCCCAGACAGCCAGGAUGUUGGCUUAGAAGCAGCCAUCAUUUAAAGAAAGCGUAAUAGCUCACUGGUCGAGUCGGCCUGCGCGGAAGAUGUAACGGGGCUAAACCAUGCACCGAAGCUGCGGCAGCGACGCUGAUGCGUUGUUGGGUAGGGGAGCGUUCUGUAAGCCUGCGAAGGUGACCUGUGAGGGUUGCUGGAGGUAUCAGAAGUGCGAAUGCUGACAUAAGUAACGAUAAAGCGGGUGAAAAGCCCGCUCGCCGGAAGACCAAGGGUUCCUGUCCAACGUUAAUCGGGGCAGGGUGAGUCGACCCCUAAGGCGAGGCCGAAAGGCGUAGUCGAUGGGAAACGGGUUAAUAUUCCCGUACUUGGUGUUACUGCGAAGGGGGGACGGAGAAGGCUAUGUUGGCCGGGCGACGGUUGUCCCGGUUUAAGCGUGUAGGUGUGUGUUCCAGGUAAAUCCGGUUCACUUUAACACUGAGGCGUGACGACGAGGCACUACGGUGCUGAAGCAACAAAUGCCCUGCUUCCAGGAAAAGCCUCUAAGCAUCAGGUAACAUCAAAUCGUACCCCAAACCGACACAGGUGGUCAGGUAGAGAAUACCAAGGCGCUUGAGAGAACUCGGGUGAAGGAACUAGGCAAAAUGGUGCCGUAACUUCGGGAGAAGGCACGCUGACACGUAGGUGAAGUGAUUUACUCAUGGAGCUGAAGUCAGUCGAAGAUACCAGCUGGCUGCAACUGUUUAUUAAAAACACAGCACUGUGCAAACACGAAAGUGGACGUAUACGGUGUGACGCCUGCCCGGUGCCGGAAGGUUAAUUGAUGGGGUCAGCGCAAGCGAAGCUCCUGAUCGAAGCCCCGGUAAACGGCGGCCGUAACUAUAACGGUCCUAAGGUAGCGAAAUUCCUUGUCGGGUAAGUUCCGACCUGCACGAAUGGCGUAAUGAUGGCCAGGCUGUCUCCACCCGAGACUCAGUGAAAUUGAACUCGCUGUGAAGAUGCAGUGUACCCGCGGCAAGACGGAAAGACCCCGUGAACCUUUACUAUAGCUUGACACUGAACAUUGAGCCUUGAUGUGUAGGAUAGGUGGGAGGCUUUGAAGUGUGGACGCCAGUCUGCAUGGAGCCGACCUUGAAAUACCACCCUUUAAUGUUUGAUGUUCUAACGUGGACCCGUAAUCCGGGUUGCGGACAGUGUCUGGUGGGUAGUUUGACUGGGGCGGUCUCCUCCUAAAGAGUAACGGAGGAGCACGAAGGUUGGCUAAUCCUGGUCGGACAUCAGGAGGUUAGUGCAAUGGCAUAAGCCAGCUUGACUGCGAGCGUGACGGCGCGAGCAGGUGCGAAAGCAGGUCAUAGUGAUCCGGUGGUUCUGAAUGGAAGGGCCAUCGCUCAACGGAUAAAAGGUACUCCGGGGAUAACAGGCUGAUACCGCCCAAGAGUUCAUAUCGACGGCGGUGUUUGGCACCUCGAUGUCGGCUCAUCACAUCCUGGGGCUGAAGUAGGUCCCAAGGGUAUGGCUGUUCGCCAUUUAAAGUGGUACGCGAGCUGGGUUUAGAACGUCGUGAGACAGUUCGGUCCCUAUCUGCCGUGGGCGCUGGAGAACUGAGGGGGGCUGCUCCUAGUACGAGAGGACCGGAGUGGACGCAUCACUGGUGUUCGGGUUGUCAUGCCAAUGGCACUGCCCGGUAGCUAAAUGCGGAAGAGAUAAGUGCUGAAAGCAUCUAAGCACGAAACUUGCCCCGAGAUGAGUUCUCCCUGAGACUUAGAGUCUCCUGAAGGAACGUUGAAGACGACGACGUUGAUAGGCCGGGUGUGUAAGCGCAGCGAUGCGUUGAGCUAACCGGUACUAAUGAACCGUGAGGCUUAACCUU
RNAcentral lists this ribosomal RNA (3007 nucleotides) under Salmonella enterica subsp. enterica serovar Typhimurium. RNAcentral describes it as "23S ribosomal RNA". It matches the Rfam family "Bacterial large subunit ribosomal RNA". Lineage: Bacteria; Pseudomonadati; Pseudomonadota; Gammaproteobacteria; Enterobacterales; Enterobacteriaceae. The record is from RNAcentral.